Cygnus atratus (black swan) is the source of this 629-nucleotide long non-coding RNA. RefSeq lists it as uncharacterized. Lineage: Eukaryota; Metazoa; Chordata; Aves; Anseriformes; Anatidae. The record is from RefSeq and is a predicted model, not a curated record. The transcript is spliced from 4 exons.
GUGUCUUAUUCACCAUCUCAUCAGAGACUGAUAACAGCUUCAGAGAGAUCUCAAUGCCUAUGAAGAAAAACACGGAAGGGCCAGACCUAGUGGGGAAUAAAGAACAAAAACGUUGCACCAAAGGCCAAAGAGCAAGUGCCAUCAACUUCAGUCAAAGAAUAGAGAGUGUUCCUGCUUCCCACCGGCAGUGUUGGUAAACAAAGGCUUUCAAAUCCAGGUCUGACCUAAUGGUCUUUUUUCUGUGCCCUGACACUACCGGGGACUUCACGCUCGUUUCCCUGCCACCUCUGUAACUCCUCACCCUGCACCAUGGGGGCAAAGCAGGGUUCAGGGGCUCCCAUACCGGCUGUCCUCAUGCUCACAGCAAACGGGAUGAGAAGAGAGGAGGAUUUGCAAGGUUGGAUCAAGUACUUUUCUGCACCAAACACCUGCUAGGAGGUAACGAAGCCUUUUCCCCACACCUGGGGGCCUUCUGGGAUGAUGAGCACAAAGGAUGGGAGCAGGGGAACACAAGCGGUUCUCCCAGGCUGUGAAGUUACAGGGGAGUGACUUCCAGCCUCGGAAAUGGAAAGCAAAGGGAAAGGAACAAUGGCUUCAGAAUUAAUAAUAAAAAGAAAUGAAUUAGUUCC